GACGUAGGGCGCGAGCGUUGUCCGGAUUUAUUGGGCGUAAAGAGCUCGUAGGCGGCUUGUCGCGUCGACUGUGAAAACCCGCGGCUCAACUGUGGGCUUGCAGUCGAUACGGGCAGGCUAGAGUUCGGUAGGGGAGACUGGAAUUCCUGGUGUAGCGGUGAAAUGCGCAGAUAUCAGGAGGAACACCGGUGGCGAAGGCGGCUAUCUGGACAGAGUCUGACGCUGAGGCGCGAAAGCUAGGGGAGCAAACAGG
This 253-nucleotide ribosomal RNA is filed under the name uncultured bacterium. Its description in RNAcentral is "partial 16S ribosomal RNA". It matches the Rfam family "Bacterial small subunit ribosomal RNA", at positions 524 to 776 of the family's 1533-position model. The record is from RNAcentral.